UCAAGUUAUUAAGGGUGCAGGGCGGAUGCCUUGGCACUAGGAGCCGAUGAAGGACGUGAUAAGCUGCGAUAAGCUUCGGGGAGUUGCACGUAAACUUUGAUCCGAAGAUUUCCGAAUGAGGAAACUCACUUAGAGUAAUGUCUAAGUAUCAUUAAGUGAAUACAUAGCUUAAUGAGGGGAACUCAGGGAACUGAAACAUCUAAGUACCUGAAGGAAGAGAAAGAAAUUCGAUUCCGUAAGUAGCGGCGAGCGAACGCGGAUUAGCCCAAACCAAUAAAGUUUUCUUUAUUGGGGUUGCGGACAUAUCAUAACGAAGAGGUAUCGUAAUUGAAGAGGUUUGGAAAGACCCACCACAGAAGGUAAUAGUCCUGUAUGUUAAACGAGAAGACUUNAGAUAUGAUCCAGAGUACCACGGGACACGUGAAACCCUGUGGGAAGCAGGAGGGACCACCCUCCAAGGCUAAAUACUACCUAGUGACCGAUAGCGUAUAGUACCGUGAGGGAAAGGUGAAAAGAACCCCGGGAGGGGAGUGAAAUAGAACCUGAAACCCUGCACUUACAAGCUGUGGAAGCACAUUUCUUGUGUGACCGCGUACUUUUUGUAGAACGGGCCAACGAGUUACGUUAAGUAGCAAGGUUAAGCACUUAAGGUGUGGAGCCGUAGCGAAAGCGAGUUUUAACUGAGCGUUCAGUUACUUGACGUAGACCCGAAACCGGGCGACCUACCCAUGAGCAGGAUGAAGCGAAAGUAAAAUUUCGUGGAGGUCCGAACCCACGAGCGUUGAAAAGCUCGGGGAUGACUUGUGGGUAGCGGUGAAAUUCCAAUCGAGCCCGGAGAUAGCUGGUUCUCCCCGAAAUAGCUUUAGGGCUAGCCUCAAGGUGAGAGAUACGGAGGUAGAGCACUGAAUGUCCUAGGGGGUAUUGCACCUACCGAAGACUAUCAAACUCCGAAUGCCGUCAUCUUAUACUUGGGAGUCAGACUGUGGGUGAUAAGAUUCAUAGUCGAAAGGGCAACAGCCCAGAUCGUCAGCUAAGGUCCCUAAAUGUAAGUUAAGUGGUAAAGGAUGUGGGAUUGCACAGACAACCAGGAUGUUGGCUUAGAAGCAGCCACUCAUUCAAAGAGUGCGUAAUAGCUCACUGGUCGAGUGAUCCUGCGCCGAAGAUUUCCGGGGCUAAAACUUACUACCGAAGCUACGGCAUCAGUAAUGAUGGGUAGGGGAGCUUCCCAUACGGGUUGAAGCAUGACCGUAAGGACAUGUGGACAGUAUGGGAGUGAGAAUGUUGGCAUGAGUAGCGAGAUGUGGGUGAGAAUCCCACAGGCCGUAAACCCAAGGUUUCCAGGGGAAGGUUCGUCCGCCCUGGGUUAGUCGGGACCUAAGCUGAGGCCGAAAGGCGUAGGUGAUGGACAACAGGUUGAUAUUCCUGUACUACCGAUAACCGUUUGAGAGAAGGGAUGACACAGUAGGAUAAGCUAAGCACACUGUUGGUUAUGUGUGCCCAAGCAUUGAGGCAGUCAAAGUAGGCAAAUCCGCUUUGAUAAUGCUGGGAUGUGAUGGGGAGCGAAAUUUAGUAGCGAAGUAGCUGAUUUCACACUGUCAAGAAAAGUCUCUAUCGAGGUUAAAGGUACCCGUACCGCAAACCGACACAGGUGGGUGAGGAGAGUAUCCUAAGGCCAGCGAGAGAACUGUUGUUAAGGAACUCGGCAAAAUGACCCCGUAACUUAGGGAUAAGGGGUGCCACCAUCAGGUGGCCGCAGAGAAUAGGCCCAAGCGACUGUUUACCAAAAACAUAGGUUUCUGCUAAGUCGCAAGACGAUGUAUAGGAGCUGACGCCUGCCCGGUGCUGGAAGGUUAAGGGGAUCUGUUAGAGCAAUCGAAGCAGUGAACUUAAGCCCCAGUAAACGGCGGCCGUAACUAUAACGGUCCUAAGGUAGCGAAAUUCCUUGUCGGGUAAGUUCCGACCCGCACGAAAGGCGUAACGAUUUGGGCACUGUCUCAACAACAGACUCGGUGAAAUUGUAAUUCCGGUGAAGAUGCCGGAUACCUGCGACAGGACGGAAAGACCCCAUGGAGCUUUACUGUAGCUUGACAUUGGGUCUUGGUACUACAUGUACAGGAUAGGUGGGAGGCUUUGAAACCAGGACGCCAGUUUUGGCGGAGCCAUCCUUGGGAUACCACCCUUGUAGUACUGGGACUCUAACCAUAGGCCAUGAAUCUGGUCUUGGGACACUGUCAGGUGGGCAGUUUGACUGGGGCGGUCGCCUCCCAAAAGGUAACGGAGGCGCUCAAAGGUUCUCUCAGUACGGUCGGAAAUCGUACGUAGAGUGUAAAGGCAAAAGAGAGCUUGAUUGCAAGACAUACAGGUCGAGCAAGGAUGAAAAUCGGACUUAGUGAUCCGGUGGUUCUGCGUGGAAGGGCCAUCGCUCAACGGAUAAAAGCUACCCUGGGGAUAACAGGCUUAUCUCCCCCAAGAGUCCACAUCGACGGGGAGGUUUGGCACCUCGAUGUCGGCUCAUCACAUCCUGGGGCUGUAGUAGGUCCCAAGGGUUGGGCUGUUCGCCCAUUAAAGUGGUACGCGAGCUGGGUUCAGAACGUCGUGAGACAGUUCGGUCCCUAUCCGUCGCAGGCGUAGGAAAUUUGAGAAGACCUGUCCUUAGUACGAGAGGACCGGGAUGGACGUACCUCUGGUGUACCAGUUGUCCUGCCAAGGGCAUGGCUGGGUAGCUAUGUACGGAAUGGAUAAGCGCUGAAAGCAUCUAAGCGCGAAGCCAACUUCAAGAUAAGAUUUCCCACCGCAAGGGUAAGACCCCAGAAAGACUAUCUGGUUGAUAGGUCGAAGGUGUAAGUGCAGCAAUGUAUUUAGCUUAUCGAUACUAAUAGGUCGAGGACUUGACCAA
RNAcentral lists this ribosomal RNA (2896 nucleotides) under Clostridioides difficile. Its description in RNAcentral is "23S ribosomal RNA". It matches the Rfam family "Bacterial large subunit ribosomal RNA". Lineage: Bacteria; Bacillati; Bacillota; Clostridia; Peptostreptococcales; Peptostreptococcaceae. The record is from RNAcentral.